AGAGUUUGAUCCUGGCUCAGAACGUACGCUGGCGGCACGCCUAACACAUGCAAGUCGAACGAAGUAGCAAUACUUAGUGGCAGACGGGUGAGUAACAUGUAGGUAUCUACCCUUUGGCCUGGAAUAACACGAGGAAACUUGUGCUAAUACCGGAUAAGUCUUUACGGAGAAAGCUUUAUGCACCAUUGGAUGAGCCUGCACUUGAUUAGUUUGUUGGUGGGGUAAUGGCCUACCAAGACUUUGAUCAAUAGCUGAUUUGAGAGGAUGAUCAGCCACAUUGGGACUGAGACACGGCCCAAACUCCUACGGGAGGCAGCAGUGGGGAAUCUUGCACAAUGGAGGAAACUCUGAUGCAGCGAUGCCGCGUGAGUGAAGAAGGCCCUUGGGUUGUAAAGCUCUUUCGUCGGGGAAGAAAAUGACUGUACCCGAAUAAGAAGGUCCGGCUAACUUCGUGCCAGCAGCCGCGGUAAUACGAAGGGACCUAGCGUAGUUCGGAAUUACUGGGCUUAAAGAGUUCGUAGGUGGUUGAAAAAGUUGGUGGUGAAAUCCCAGAGCUUAACUCUGGAACUGCCAUCAAAACUUUUCAGCUAGAGUAUGAUAGAGGAAAGCAGAAUUUCUAGUGUAGAGGUGAAAUUCGUAGAUAUUAGAAAGAAUACCAAUUGCGAAGGCAGCUUUCUGGAUCAUUACUGACACUGAGGAACGAAAGCAUGGGUAGCGAAGAGGAUUAGAUACCCUCGUAGUCCAUGCCGUAAACGAUGUGUGUUAGACGUUGGAAAUUUAUUUUCAGUGUCGCAGCGAAAGCGAUAAACACACCGCCUGGGGAGUACGACCGCAAGGUUAAAACUCAAAUGAAUUGACGGGGACCCGCACAAGUAGUGGAGCAUGUGGUUUAAUUCGAAGAUACGCGCAGAACCUUACCAACACUUGACAUGUUCGUCGCGACUCUAAGAGAUUAGAGUUUUCGGUUCGGCCGGACGAAACACAGGUGCUGCAUGGCUGUCGUCAGCUCGUGUCGUGAGAUGUUGGGUUAAGUCCCGCAACGAGCGCAACCCUCACUUUUAGUUGCCAUCAUUAAGUUGGGCACUCUGAAAGAACUGCCAGUGAUAAGCUGGAGGAAGGUGGGGAUGACGUCAAGUCCUCAUGGCCCUUACGUGUUGGGCUACACACGUGCUACAAUGGUAUCUACAACAGGAAGCAAGACUGCGAAGUUAAGCAAAUCCCUAAAAGAUACCUCAGUUCGGAUUGCACUCUGCAACUCGAGUGCAUGAAGCUGGAAUUACUAGUAAUCGUGGAUCAGCGUGCCACGGUGAAUGCGUUCCCGGGUCUUGUACACACCGCCCGUCACACCAUGGGAGUUGGUUCUACCUUAAGGCAAGGUUUUAAACCCUUGACCACGGUAUAGUCAGCGACUGGGGUGAAGUCGUAACAAGGUAACC
Molecule: ribosomal RNA, 1436 nt
Filed under: uncultured Pelagibacterales bacterium
Lineage: Bacteria; Pseudomonadati; Pseudomonadota; Alphaproteobacteria; Candidatus Pelagibacterales
Description: bacterial SSU rRNA
Rfam family: Bacterial small subunit ribosomal RNA
Source: RNAcentral